RNAcentral lists this ribosomal RNA (433 nucleotides) under uncultured bacterium. RNAcentral describes it as "bacterial SSU rRNA". It matches the Rfam family "Bacterial small subunit ribosomal RNA", at positions 29 to 507 of the family's 1533-position model. The record is from RNAcentral.
AACGAACGCUGGCGGCAGGCCUAACACAUGCAAGUCGAGCGGGACCUUCGGGUCUAGCGGCGGACGGGUUAGUAACGCGUGGGAACGUGCCCAAAGGUCCGGAAUAGCCUCGGGAAACUGAGAGUAAUACCGUAUGUGCCCCUCGGGGGAAAGAUUUAUCGCCUUUGGAUCGGCCCGCGUUGGAUUAGGUAGUUGGUGGGGUAAUGGCCUACCAAGCCGACGAUCCAUAGCUGGUUUGAGAGGAUGAUCAGCCACACUGGGACUGAGACACGGCCCAGACUCCUACGGGAGGCAGCAGUGGGGAAUCUUAGACAAUGGGCGCAAGCCUGAUCUAGCCAUGCCGCGUGAGUGAUGAAGGCCUUAGGGUUGUAAAGCUCUUUCAGAUGGGAAGAUAAUGACGGUACCAUCAGAAGAAGCCCCGGCUAACUCCGUG